AGAGUUUGAUCAUGGCUCACGAUGAACGCUAGCGGCAGGCUUAAUACAUGCAAGUCGAACGGGAUUCGGGGUAGCAAUACUUUGAUGAGAGUGGCGCACGGGUGCGUAACGCGGAUGCAACCUACCUUUAACAGGGGAAUAGCCCCUAGAAAUCGGGAUUAAUACUCCGUAACAUUGCGGUGUGGAAUCACACUGCAAUUAAAGAUUUAUCGGUUAAAGAUGGGCAUGCGUGACAUUAGCUAGUUGGUGAGGCAACGGCUCACCAAAGCUACGAUGUCUAUGGGUCCUGACAGGGAUAUCCCCCACACUGGUACUGAGACACGGACCAUACUCCUACGGGAGGUAGCAGUAAGGAAUAUUGGUCAAUGGGCGCAGGCCUGAACCAGCCAUGCCGCGUGCAUGAAGACGGUCCUAUGGGUUGUAAACUGCUUUUGUCUGGGAAUAAACCCCCGCUCGUGAGCGGGGCUGAACGGACCUGAAG
This 481-nucleotide ribosomal RNA is filed under the name uncultured Bacteroidota bacterium. RNAcentral's name for it is "bacterial SSU rRNA". It matches the Rfam family "Bacterial small subunit ribosomal RNA", at positions 8 to 484 of the family's 1533-position model. The record is from RNAcentral. Lineage: Bacteria; Pseudomonadati; Bacteroidota.